Molecule: long non-coding RNA, 1847 nt
Organism: Rhinopithecus roxellana (golden snub-nosed monkey)
Lineage: Eukaryota; Metazoa; Chordata; Mammalia; Primates; Cercopithecidae
Exons: 2
Source: RefSeq, a predicted model, not a curated record
GCCAUUCCCUUAGCUUCCUGGAUGACUCAGGAGUUAGUGAUUCCAUUGAAAUGAGAUCAGUUCUGCUGUGUUACGUUCGUUUUUAGUUGUGCCUCCUGUGAUUUUGUUAACUAGUCUGGGGUUUUGUGGUUUUGUUUGUUUGGUUUUGGUUAUCUGGUUUUGCCUCCUUUGCCCAUUAUGGUUUGGUUUAGUUUUCCGUGUGUGCACAUCUUGUGCUUUUUGAAGACCCUCAAUCAUUUAUCUAUGACUGAUUUCAGUAUCAUGAAGUUAAAUUACCAUGGGGUAGUUAUCUAACUAGUGACUGAGUCCCCAAGUAUCAAACCUGUUUAAACACAGCAUUUUGUUCUCCAACAUAAAAUGGCAAAACUCCAUCCUUGUGGACCGCCCCUUUGUAUCCCUGUUGCUGUUUUGGGCUUUUAGGGUGUCUAAAAUUCACAUAUGGCUUGACUGACUGAUUGAUUGAUGAUUGCGUAAUUUAUUUUGGCUUCCCAAUUUGAACAUCUGUUCUUUCCCCUUCACCCCUUUCCAGAUGUCCCCUAGCUGUGCUGACCUCUGCACUGUGUAGUGUUGUCAUCUGGUGGAUUGUUUGUGACUACAUUCUUCCCAUCCUGCUAUUCUGUCUCGAUGGUUUCAGAACACAGUAGCCAUCAGGACCCCCUGACAGAUAGCUGCUUCUCUCCAUUUCAAGGACUAAAACAGUCUUGCGUUAAGUAAAAACCUGUGACCAGAGCUGAAGGAAGACUCUAGGAACUGAAAACUGCAGCAGAAAUUAGCACAAUUUGAAAACAAAACAAAAUUGCAAAAGCCUUAGUUGCUUUCCACCUAAGAAGUCGAUCAAUGGAGAAAGUGUCCGCUGGAGUUUCGAUAAUGAACUUUGAGUUUGGGUGCAAGCGAAGGACUCAGAGAAGGGCCCAGCUCUCAAGCUGAACGACAAAAAUGCUGUUGUAAAUUUAGUCUCAGGUGUAAAUACCCAGCCCUCUGGUUCCCAGGGAGCUGGCUGCUCUGAGGUGCACGUGUGUCUCUGUGAUGGCAAUCAUUGUAGUUGCUGGCCUUCAGAAGAAUUGAGGAUCUGAUGGAGGUUUUUUAUGUAUUUAUUUUCUGUUCACCUUGUGACCCUGUGUCAAAAUUUGUAAAGAUACAAAAGGCAUUAAUUACUGAGAUGGUACUUUCUGUAAUUUGAUACUAUUUGGCUUAAUCAUCUUCACCUAUUUGUACUGUUGUAAUGUUAACUCUGUUAAGUACCCAAGCUGCUUGUCUUCCACCAAAGAGUGCUUUAUUAACAAGAAUCUGUGAAAACCACAUUUAAAUACUGUUGCAUGUUGUAAGACCAGAUGGUUACCUUGGUAACCUAAAACUUGCAAGAUAAUAUAAUGGUAGCUUUAGAAGACUCAGGAGGAGAAACUGACUUCAGAAUUGGAAGAUGUUGCAAGUCAUCCCUUUUUCUGUCCUUUAGGGACUGAAGAACUGGGAGGCUGCCCAUUGUUUGGUGCCAGUCAUACAAAUUAAAAUCAUAUUUCCUUCCUUGCAUGGAAGAAACACAGUCAGUUAUUCCCCUUGGAAACAGCAAUCCCAAAUAAUGUCGGCUUAAAAAAAAGUUAACCGCUUUUUAGAGUCCUUCUCUGUAACAUUGGAUUUUUUUUUUUUUUUUUUCUCCUUAUGAGAUCAGUCUAAGGCCAUUGACGCAGCCUGCGAUCUCAGUGACAAUGAUCUGCUUGUGGAUCUCACUGUUGCCUUUGGUUAGGGAACACAACUAGUAACUCUGCAGAGUGCCUUCUCCCCCUACCCUACUGGAACACAGCAGAGUCUGUGCCAUGAAGCAGUUACAGAAACAGAAUUGAUUUGCUGCU